Molecule: long non-coding RNA, 961 nt
Filed under: Equus caballus (horse)
Lineage: Eukaryota; Metazoa; Chordata; Mammalia; Perissodactyla; Equidae
Description: lncRNA (ENSECAG00000059113.1)
Source: RNAcentral
CUAGCCAAUAGAAUUCCAAACCACAGACUCCAAGUCAGUUAUGCUCUUUUCUCAUUCUUGUUGUUGUUUUCACAAAGACACAAAGAAAAGAACGAAAGAUGGUGAUUGAGCAGGACAGAAAUUACUUGCAUCUCCACCAAACAAAAAUCUAUCAGCUAACCCCGCCCCAACAGAGCUGCAACUUAGCCCCAUCAAUGGAGAGCCAGUCUAAGGAGCACGCUGAGCGCCUCACUGAAGAGCACCCAGGCCUCAGGGUGCUUGCCAUUGCCAAGUUCUGAGCAAUUCUUCUCCAGCACGCUCUACCCUGGCCUGGGGCAAGUCCUCUCUUGUCCCUCUGCCUAGCCAGGUCCCUGCUCUAUCCAGCCUGUUUGAGACCCUCAUUAGCCCUUCUCUCUUUUAGAAACCUUCCGUCCAAACUGGAUGAACAGCUAUUUCAGCAGCUCCCUAUGGCUUCGUCUCUUCAUUCACGGCAUGCCACGUGGCAGGAACCUGGAGACGCUGAGCAUCAGCCAUGGAUCACGAUGCUCUCUGAACGGGAAGGUGGCCGAGGGGCUCCAACAGCUCCUCACCAUGAGCCAUUCCAUUAUAGGCACUGUGUUGAAGCCCCAGCCACCGAGACCUGAGAGGUCCUAUUUUACUCUGGGUCAUGGGCAGAGAGGAGAAACAGCUGGAAAGAUAAAGCCAGAACUAGGAAAAUGGCCAUAGAAGACCACGGUGAAACUCAUCAAAUAGAACACUUAAAAUAUGUGUAUUUCAUGUUAUGCUAAUUAUUCUGGAUUAACCUGAAUUUUAAAAAUUAAAUUUGAAAAAGGAAACAAAGACAUUGAUCACCAUUCCUCUAUUCACGAGCCUACCCUGUACACAGUGGUGCAUACUUCAGACAUGGUGCCUGCCCUUCUGAAGUUUAUGGGAAAGUGACUUGGGAAAACACUAACCUUCCGUUACAUAUUUCAUGCUUUUC